UGGGGAAUAUUGCACAAUGGGCGCAAGCCUGAUGCAGCGACGCCGCGUGAGGGAUGACGGCCUUCGGGUUGUAAACCUCUGUUAGCAGGGAAGAAGAGAAAUUGACGGUACCUGCAGAGAAAGCGCCGGCUAACUACGUGCCAGCAGCCGCGGUAAUACGUAGGGCGCGAGCGUUGUCCGGAAUUAUUGGGCGUAAAGAGCUUGUAGGCGGUUUGUCGCGUCUGCUGUGAAAGGCCGGGGCUUAACCCCGUGUAUUGCAGUGGGUACGGGCAGACUAGAGUGCAGUAGGGGAGACUGGAACUCCUGGUGUAGCGGUGGAAUGCGCAGAUAUCAGGAAGAACACCGAUGGCGAAGGCAGGUCUCUGGGCUGUAACUGACGCUGAGAAGCGAAAGCAUGGGGAGCGAACAGG
RNAcentral lists this ribosomal RNA (410 nucleotides) under uncultured bacterium. RNAcentral describes it as "bacterial SSU rRNA". It matches the Rfam family "Bacterial small subunit ribosomal RNA", at positions 355 to 776 of the family's 1533-position model. The record is from RNAcentral.